This 253-nucleotide ribosomal RNA is filed under the name uncultured bacterium. RNAcentral's name for it is "partial 16S ribosomal RNA". It matches the Rfam family "Bacterial small subunit ribosomal RNA", at positions 524 to 776 of the family's 1533-position model. The record is from RNAcentral.
UACGUAGGGACCGAGCGUUAUCCGGAUUUACUGGGCGUACAGGGAGCGUAGGCGGUUCGGUAAGCCCUCUGUGAAAUCUCCAGGCUUAACCUGGAAAAGUCGGGGGGGACUGCUGGGCUAGAGGACGGGAGAGGAGCGCGGAAUUCCCGGUGUAGCGGUGAAAUGCGUAGAGAUCGGGAGGAAGGCCGGUGGCGAAGGCGGCGCUCUGGAACGUUUCUGACGCUGAGGCUCGAAAGCGUGGGGAGCAAACAGG